CUAGUUGAACCUGCGGAGGGAUCAUU
This 26-nucleotide ribosomal RNA is filed under the name Fusarium solani. RNAcentral's name for it is "partial 18S ribosomal RNA". Lineage: Eukaryota; Fungi; Ascomycota; Sordariomycetes; Hypocreales; Nectriaceae. The record is from RNAcentral.